This 332-nucleotide unclassified non-coding RNA is filed under the name soil metagenome. RNAcentral describes it as "partial contains 5.8S ribosomal RNA, internal transcribed spacer 2, and large subunit ribosomal RNA". The stretch from base 1 to 120 matches the Rfam family "5.8S ribosomal RNA", at positions 35 to 154 of the family's 154-position model. The record is from RNAcentral.
GAUGAAGAACGCAGUGAAAUGCGAUAAGUAAUGUGAAUUGCAGAAUUCAGUGAAUCAUCGAAUCUUUGAACGCACAUUGCGCCCUCUGGUAUUCCUUAGGGCAUGCCUGUUCGAGCGUCAUUUAAACCUUCAAGCUAAGCUUGGUGUUGGGUGACUGUCCGCUUCACGGCGGACUCGCCUCAAAAUUAUUGGCGGCCGGUACAUUGGCUUCGAGCGCAGCAGAAACGCGAACUCGGGCCCGUCGUAUUGGCUCCCAGAAGCUAUCUUCACAAUUUUGACCUCGGAUCAGGUAGGGAUACCCGCUGAACUUAAGCAUAUCAAUAAGCGGAGGA